Molecule: ribosomal RNA, 2573 nt
Filed under: Vibrio cholerae
Lineage: Bacteria; Pseudomonadati; Pseudomonadota; Gammaproteobacteria; Vibrionales; Vibrionaceae
Description: partial 23S ribosomal RNA
Rfam family: Bacterial large subunit ribosomal RNA
Source: RNAcentral
ACAGGGUGAUAGCCCCGUAACCGACGCUUCAUCGAGCGUGAAAUCGAGUAGGGCGGGACACGUGAUAUCCUGUCUGAAUAUGGGGGGACCAUCCUCCAAGGCUAAAUACUCCUGACUGACCGAUAGUGAACCAGUACCGUGAGGGAAAGGCGAAAAGAACCCCUGUGAGGGGAGUGAAAUAGAACCUGAAACCGUGUACGUACAAGCAGUAGGAGCACCUUCGUGGUGUGACUGCGUACCUUUUGUAUAAUGGGUCAGCGACUUAUAUUCAGUGGCAAGGUUAACCGUAUAGGGGAGCCGUAGCGAAAGCGAGUCUUAACUGGGCGCUCAGUCUCUGGAUAUAGACCCGAAACCGGGUGAUCUAGCCAUGGGCAGGUUGAAGGUUGAGUAACAUCAACUGGAGGACCGAACCGACUAAUGUUGAAAAAUUAGCGGAUGACUUGUGGCUAGGGGUGAAAGGCCAAUCAAACUCGGAGAUAGCUGGUUCUCCCCGAAAGCUAUUUAGGUAGCGCCUCGGACGAAUACUACUGGGGGUAGAGCACUGUUAAGGCUAGGGGGUCAUCCCGACUUACCAACCCUUUGCAAACUCCGAAUACCAGUAAGUACUAUCCGGGAGACACACGGCGGGUGCUAACGUCCGUCGUGGAGAGGGAAACAACCCAGACCGCCAGCUAAGGUCCCAAAGUAUUGCUAAGUGGGAAACGAUGUGGGAAGGCUCAGACAGCUAGGAUGUUGGCUUAGAAGCAGCCAUCAUUUAAAGAAAGCGUAAUAGCUCACUAGUCGAGUCGGCCUGCGCGGAAGAUGUAACGGGGCUAAGCAAUACACCGAAGCUGCGGCAAUAUCUUUUAGAUAUUGGGUAGGGGAGCGUUCUGUAAGCCGUUGAAGGUGAAUCGUAAGGUUUGCUGGAGGUAUCAGAAGUGCGAAUGCUGACAUGAGUAACGACAAAGGGGGUGAAAAACCUCCUCGCCGGAAGACCAAGGGUUCCUGUCCAACGUUAAUCGGGGCAGGGUGAGUCGACCCCUAAGGUGAGGCCGAAAGGCGUAAUCGAUGGGAAACGGGUUAAUAUUCCCGUACUUCUGACUAUUGCGAUGGGGGGACGGAGAAGGCUAGGUGGGCCAGGCGACGGUUGUCCUGGUUCAAGUGCGUAGGCUUGAGAGUUAGGUAAAUCCGGCUCUCUCUAAGGCUGAGACACGACGUCGAGCUGCUACGGCAGUGAAGUCAUUGAUGCCAUGCUUCCAGGAAAAGCCUCUAAGCUUCAGAUAGUCAGGAAUCGUACCCCAAACCGACACAGGUGGUCGGGUAGAGAAUACCAAGGCGCUUGAGAGAACUCGGGUGAAGGAACUAGGCAAAAUGGUACCGUAACUUCGGGAGAAGGUACGCUCUUGAUGGUGAAGUCCCUCGCGGAUGGAGCUGACGAGAGUCGCAGAUACCAGGUGGCUGCAACUGUUUAUUAAAAACACAGCACUGUGCAAAAUCGCAAGAUGACGUAUACGGUGUGACGCCUGCCCGGUGCCGGAAGGUUAAUUGAUGGGGUUAGCGCAAGCGAAGCUCUUGAUCGAAGCCCCGGUAAACGGCGGCCGUAACUAUAACGGUCCUAAGGUAGCGAAAUUCCUUGUCGGGUAAGUUCCGACCUGCACGAAUGGCGUAAUGAUGGCCACGCUGUCUCCACCCGAGACUCAGUGAAAUUGAAAUCGCUGUGAAGAUGCAGUGUACCCGCGGCUAGACGGAAAGACCCCGUGAACCUUUACUACAGCUUGGCACUGAACAUUGAACCUACAUGUGUAGGAUAGGUGGGAGGCUAUGAAGACGUGACGCCAGUUGCGUUGGAGCCGUCCUUGAAAUACCACCCUUGUAUGUUUGAUGUUCUAACUUAGACCCAUUAUCUGGGUUGAGGACAGUGCCUGGUGGGUAGUUUGACUGGGGCGGUCUCCUCCCAAAGAGUAACGGAGGAGCACGAAGGUGGGCUAAUCACGGUUGGACAUCGUGAGGUUAGUGCAAUGGCAUAAGCCCGCUUAACUGCGAGAAUGACGGUUCGAGCAGGUGCGAAAGCAGGUCAUAGUGAUCCGGUGGUUCUGUAUGGAAGGGCCAUCGCUCAACGGAUAAAAGGUACUCCGGGGAUAACAGGCUGAUACCGCCCAAGAGUUCAUAUCGACGGCGGUGUUUGGCACCUCGAUGUCGGCUCAUCACAUCCUGGGGCUGAAGUCGGUCCCAAGGGUAUGGCUGUUCGCCAUUUAAAGUGGUACGCGAGCUGGGUUUAGAACGUCGUGAGACAGUUCGGUCCCUAUCUGCCGUGGGCGUUGGAAGAUUGAAGGGGGCUGCUCCUAGUACGAGAGGACCGGAGUGGACGAACCUCUGGUGUUCGGGUUGUGUCGCCAGACGCAUUGCCCGGUAGCUAAGUUCGGAAUUGAUAAGCGCUGAAAGCAUCUAAGCGCGAAGCGAGCCCUGAGAUGAGUCUUCCCUGACAGUUUAACUGUUCUAAAGGGUUGUUCGAGACUAGAACGUUGAUAGGCAGGGUGUGUAAGCGUUGUGAGGCGUUGAGCUAACCUGUACUAAUUGCCCGUGAGGCUUAACCA